ACACAUUUGAUGUGAUCUACAGCCGUGACACUAUCCUUCAUAUACAAGAUAAACCCGCAUUAUUCAAAAGUUUCUUCAACUGGUUGAAGCCCGGAGGGAAGGUUCUCAUCAGUGAUUAUUGCAAGAGCUCUGGAACACCAUCUGAGGAGUUUGCAGAGUAUAUUAAGCAGAGAGGGUAUGAUUUGCAUGAUGUAGAGGCUUACGGCCAGAUGCUCAAGGAUGCUGGGUUUCAUGAGGUUAUAGCCGAAGAUAGGACUG
Molecule: unclassified non-coding RNA, 258 nt
Filed under: Hevea brasiliensis (rubber tree)
Lineage: Eukaryota; Viridiplantae; Streptophyta; Magnoliopsida; Malpighiales; Euphorbiaceae
Source: RNAcentral